RNAcentral lists this ribosomal RNA (465 nucleotides) under uncultured bacterium. RNAcentral describes it as "partial 16S ribosomal RNA". It matches the Rfam family "Bacterial small subunit ribosomal RNA", at positions 28 to 507 of the family's 1533-position model. The record is from RNAcentral.
GACGAACGCUGGCGGCGUGCUUAACACAUGCAAGUCGAACGGAAAGGCCCCUUUGGGGGUACUCGAGUGGCGAACGGGUGAGUAACACGUGAGUAACCUGCCCUUUACUUCGUGAUAACUUCAGGAAACUGGGGCUAAUACCGGAUAGGAAUCCUUGCUGCAUGGUGGGGGUUGGAAAGCUUCGGCGGUUUUGGAUGUACUCGCGGCUUAUCAGCUUGUUGGUGGGGUAGUGGCUUACCAAGGCUUUGACGGGUAGCCGGCCUGAGAGGGCGACCGGCCACAUUGGGACUGAGAUACGGCCCAGACUCCUACGGGAGGCAGCAGUGGGGAAUAUUGCACAAUGGGCGGAAGCCUGAUGCAGCAAAGCCGCGUGCGGGAUGACGGCCUUCGGGUUGUAAACCGCUUUCAGCAGGGGCGAAGCUUGUGGUGACGGUACCUGCAGAAGAAGCACCGGCUAACUACGUG